CAGCCGCCGCGGUAAUACGAAGGUCCCAAGCGUUGUUCGGAAUCACUGGGCGUAAAGGGAGCGUAGGCGGCGUGGUAAGUCAGAUGUGAAAUCCCGGGGCUCAACCCCGGAACUGCAUCCGAUACUGCCAUGCUUGAGGGUUGGAGAGGUAGCUGGAAUUCUCGGUGUAGCAGUGAAAUGCGUGGAUAUCGAGAGGAACACUCGUGGCGAAGGCGAGCUACUGGACAACAUCUGACGCUGAGGCUCGAAGGCUAGGGUAGCGAAAGGGAUUAGAUACCCCCGUAGUCCCUGUCUCUUAUAC
This 301-nucleotide ribosomal RNA is filed under the name uncultured bacterium. RNAcentral's name for it is "partial 16S ribosomal RNA". It matches the Rfam family "Bacterial small subunit ribosomal RNA", at positions 509 to 807 of the family's 1533-position model. The record is from RNAcentral.